This 261-nucleotide ribosomal RNA is filed under the name uncultured archaeon. RNAcentral describes it as "partial 16S ribosomal RNA". It matches the Rfam family "Archaeal small subunit ribosomal RNA", at positions 748 to 1008 of the family's 1478-position model. The record is from RNAcentral.
CAGCCGUAAACAAUGUGCGUUAGGUGUGUCGGUAACCACGUGUUACUGAUGCGCCGAAGAGAAAUCGUGAAACGCACCACCUGGGAAGUACGGUCGCAAGGCUGAAACUUAAAGGAAUUGGCGGGGGAGCACCACAACAGGUGGAGCCUGCGGUUUAAUUGGAUUCAACGCCGGACAUCUCACCGGAUAAGACAGCUGAAUGAUUGUCAAUCUGAAGGUUUACAUGACUAAGCUGAGAGGAGGUGCAUGGCGGUCAGUGAC